RNAcentral lists this ribosomal RNA (387 nucleotides) under uncultured bacterium. RNAcentral's name for it is "bacterial SSU rRNA". It matches the Rfam family "Bacterial small subunit ribosomal RNA", at positions 29 to 416 of the family's 1533-position model. The record is from RNAcentral.
AUUGAACGCUGGCGGCAUGCCUUACACAUGCAAGUCGAACGGCAGCACGGGGGCAACCCUGGUGGCGAGUGGCGAACGGGUGAGUACUGCAUCGGAAUGUACCCAGUAGUGGGGGGAUAACUAGUCGAAAGACUAGCUAAUACCGCAUACGCACUGAGGGUGAAAGCGGGGGAUCGCAAGACCUCGCGCUACUGGAGCGGCCGAUAUCAGAUUAGCUAGUUGGUGGGGUAAAGGCCUACCAAGGCAACGAUCUGUAGUUGGUCUGAGAGGACGACCAGCCACACUGGGACUGAGACACGGCCCAGACUCCUACGGGAGGCAGCAGUGGGGAAUUUUGGACAAUGGGCGCAAGCCUGAUCCAGCAAUGCCGCGUGCAGGAAGAAGGCC